Molecule: non-coding RNA, 202 nt
Filed under: Oscillospiraceae bacterium
Lineage: Bacteria; Bacillati; Bacillota; Clostridia; Eubacteriales; Oscillospiraceae
Description: 6S RNA
Rfam family: 6S / SsrS RNA
About the family: E. coli 6S RNA was the first non coding RNA to be sequenced, but its function was unknown until recently. It consists of 184 nucleotides that fold into an extended hairpin structure with a large single-stranded internal bulge.
Source: RNAcentral
UUACCCCUGCCCAGUGCGUGGACUGUGCUUAUAUAACCCUACAAUUAAUUAAACGGGAGUUGGUCUCCGGCGACGGAUUGCAGACCUCCCGGCACAGUCCUGAGCUGUGUUGGACGAAGGGAGCGCGAAAGCGUUGGGCUGACACCCACCUGCUAUCGAGUAGCAGGUUAUUUUAAGCGCAAUACGGCUGGGCGGGAUCAUA